ACGGGGCGCAGCAGGCGCGAAAACUUUACAAUGCGGGAAACCGUGAUAAGGGAACUCCGAGUGCCCGUAAAAUCGGGCUGUCCAUCUGUGUAAAUAACAGGUGAAGAAAGGGCCGGGCAAGACCGGUGCCAGCCGCCGCGGUAAUACCGGCGGCUCGAGUGGUGGCCACUAUUACUGGGCUUAAAGCGUUCGUAGCUGGUCUGUUAAGUCUCUGGGGAAAUCUACUGGCUUAACCAAUAGGCGUCUCAGGGAUACUGGCAGACUAGGGACCGGGAGAGGUGAGAGGUACUCCAGGGGUAGGAGUGAAAUCCUGUAAUCCUUGGGGGACCACCUGUGGCGAAGGCGUCUCACCAGAACGGCUCCGACAGUGAGGGACGAAAGCUGGGGGAGCAAACCGGAUUAGAUACCCGGGUAGUCCCAGCUGUAAACGAUGCGCGUUAGGUGUAUCGGUGACCACGAGUCACCGAGGUGCCGAAGAGAAAUCGUGAGACGUGCCGCCUGGGAAGUACGGUCGCAAGGCUGAAACUUAAAGGAAUUGGCGGGGGAGCAC
RNAcentral lists this ribosomal RNA (550 nucleotides) under uncultured archaeon. RNAcentral describes it as "bacterial SSU rRNA". It matches the Rfam family "Archaeal small subunit ribosomal RNA", at positions 325 to 879 of the family's 1478-position model. The record is from RNAcentral.